Long non-coding RNA from Pezoporus occidentalis (night parrot), 617 nucleotides. RefSeq lists it as uncharacterized. The transcript has 2 exons. The record is from RefSeq and is a predicted model, not a curated record. NCBI's taxonomy places the organism in Eukaryota, Metazoa, Chordata, Aves, Psittaciformes, Psittacidae.
UCUCUCACUGACUGAUGGAUUGUUUCUGCCAACAAAGAACACCAUACUUACUCACCAUGUAAAUGGCAACAACUAAGGAUCAACAUUCUUCAGAUAUGAACAAUAUUGUUGUUUUGAUAUGCGUUCAGAGAGAAGAAGCAAGAGGAAAUUUGCUGAAUGCCUGACAGAAUCAUCUGAGUAAUGCUCCAUGAGCCUCUACAUGACAGAGUCAGCUCUAGUGGGUCCACAAAGAGCUAUUCAAAGACGCAGCCCCCAGAGGAAACUUUGGGGAAAAUUAUAUGUCCUAUGUGAAUAGAAUUUCAUAUAUCUCACAUGAAACUUUGUGCCACAUCAAAUUAGGCUUCUUUAGAGGAAGGGAAAGUACUUCCUAGAACAUAUUUUCUCCGGUUGAAGAUAUUCAGAUCCUAUAUCCUAGUAACCAAGCAUGCUAAUAACCUUACAAUAAAAUACUAAGACUGCAUAUGAGGUACUUUAUCAAGUCAGUUGAUGCAAACAAGGAGGUGAAAUAUUUUCCCAAAUGCUGCAUAGUAUCUUGCUACGAUUGGAUUGUGGUAAUAAUGUAUUUGCAAUUACCUGUCUAAUGCAAAUAAGUAAAUGCAGAACCAGCAGAUUCAGAA